AGAGCGAACGCUGGCGGCAGGCCUAACACAUGCAAGUCGAGCGCCCGUAGCAAUACGGGAGCGGCAGACGGGAGAGUAACACGUGGGAACGCGCCCUUCGGUUCGGAAUAACUCAGGGAAACUUGAGCUAAUACCGGAUACGCCCUUACGGGGAAAGAUUUAUUGCCGAAGGAACGGCCCGCGUCCGAUUAGCUAGUUGGUGAGGUAAUGGCUCACCAAGGCGACGAUCGGUAGCUGGUCUGAGAGGAUGACCAGCCUCACUGGGACUGAGACACGGCCCAGACUCCUACGGGAGGCAGCAGUGGGGAAUAUUGGACAAUGGGCGCAAGCCUGAUCCAGCCAUGCCGCGUGGAUGAUGAAGGCCUUAGGGUGUAAAGUCCUUUUAACGGGGAAGAUAAUGACGUACCGUAGAAUAAGCCCGGCUAACUUCGCGCCAGCAGCCGC
This 444-nucleotide ribosomal RNA is filed under the name uncultured bacterium. RNAcentral's name for it is "SSU rRNA". It matches the Rfam family "Bacterial small subunit ribosomal RNA", at positions 26 to 518 of the family's 1533-position model. The record is from RNAcentral.